This is a long non-coding RNA of Osmerus eperlanus (European smelt), 1160 nucleotides long. RefSeq lists it as uncharacterized. The transcript is spliced from 2 exons. Lineage: Eukaryota; Metazoa; Chordata; Actinopteri; Osmeriformes; Osmeridae. The record is from RefSeq and is a predicted model, not a curated record.
ACAUACUACAGUGGUCUAUGAUGCAUCUGUUUUCAAUCGUUAAAAUAAACAUUCCUCACAAAUACAUUUUCGUUGUAGGAUUUAUUAUGACAUUACAUUACAAGUAAACGAUUUGUUGGUGAAAUUAUCAUUACCUGUGGUUUCAAACCAGUGUUGCUCACUGCAACGCUGUAGCUUACGCGAGACACUACAAAAACAUCUACAGUACACAGCUGUUUAGGAAGUCAAACGGCGACAGAACAUGUUCGGCACUCCCCUUACUUAAAUCAAAAGUCUUUCAAUAGGUGAAACUAUCUGACUACUAACCUGAACUUCAUUGCCACAGCCUGGGCUUGGACCCUGGCCCUGAGAGUUGUGGAGCAACAUAGAUAGCUCAGUGCUAGUGGAAUGCCAAUUUCUUAUUUUUGGAGCCGUCCACUAGCGUCUAGUUAUGUUCCAGAAAUCCUGUUCCAGCCAAUCGCCUUUGGCAAGGCAGGCCUUCCUCCUUGUGUUAUUUUGGGAAGCCACUGUCAAUCAAACUUGAGCUGGAAGAAAGCACCAAAGUUCAGACAAGAAUUGGGCGUGCUGUUUAUCAUAUUUGAAUACAAUCGUUCAUAUUACCAAGUGAUAGGCAGAGUUUUUGUUUGAGAAAGCAGAACAUUUGUUAGUUUCAUUGUUGUGCAUCUUUCCAGCAGUUUGAAUGAAGGAUGUGGGCUUUUUGUCAUCAUAAUACUCCCCCCCCGCUUAGCCACAAUACAUCAGCGUCCGUGUUAGCUUGCUGGCUGUCUGAAUGCUGUCGUCUGUACAGACCCCCAGGGCCCCCGGGAGGCCGCAGGCGAAUGGGCAGGAUAAACCACGGAGGAGGGCCCAGCGCCCCCCCCAUGGGAGGAGGAGGAUGAGGAAGGUAAACGCCUACACCUGCUGUGUAGGCGUGGGCUAGUGCACGGUGGCAGUCUCCGGCCAUGAGCCUGAUCAACGAUGUCAUCGUGCCAGACCCCCUCCUCAUUGGCUGCUUCUGCCUCUGGCAGACUCUUGACACCACCCUGGGAAUUCCUCAGCGUAGGAACCGGGGGGGCUGACACAGCAGCUUCCUGUUCCUGUCACACUCAAUGUCACUCUAGUCAUUCAUCUGUUUUUUUUGUAUCCCCUGCUAAAUAAAGUGUAGUCAUGUUGAAAUAUCA